AGUGAACGCUGGCGGUAGGCCUAACACAUGCAAGUCGAAUGGCAGCACAGUAAGAGCUUGCUCUUACGGGUGGCGAGUGGCGGACGGGUGAGGAAUACAUCGGAAUCUACUUUUUCGUGGGGGAUAACGUAGGGAAACUUACGCUAAUACCGCAUACGACCUACGGGUGAAAGCAGGGGAUCUUCGGACCUUGCGCGAUUGAAUGAGCCGAUGUCGGAUUAGCUAGUUGGCGGGGUAAAGGCCCACCAAGGCGACGAUCCGUAGCUGGUCUGAGAGGAUGAUCAGCCACACUGGAACUGAGACACGGUCCAGACUCCUACGGGAGGCAGCAGUGGGGAAUAUUGGACAAUGGGCGCAAGCCUGAUCCAGCCAUACCGCGUGAGUGAAGAAGGCCUUCGGGUUGUAAAGCCCUUUUGUUGGGAAAGAAAAGCAGCAGGUUAAUACCCCGCUGUUCUGACGGUACCCAAAGAAUAAGCACCGGCUAACUUCGUG
This 492-nucleotide ribosomal RNA is filed under the name uncultured bacterium. Its description in RNAcentral is "partial 16S ribosomal RNA". It matches the Rfam family "Bacterial small subunit ribosomal RNA", at positions 29 to 507 of the family's 1533-position model. The record is from RNAcentral.